GCAGACGUCCCGGGCGCACUGUUGGCACGGAGCACUAGCCCCUGAAGUUCAGAGAGUCAAUCUUGGCGCAUUGCUGGCGCAUCACACCAGCCCUUGCUGGCGUACUGCUGGCGCACUGCUGGCGCGCCACACCACCCUCCCCCUAGAACGUUUCCGACAAAUUUUUCUACUCGUUUUCUAACCUUAAUUAGAUUAGAUUUGAUUAUUUUUCUCAAUUUCUCUUUAGAUUAAGUUACCCAAUACAUGUACACAAGAAUCUACUCAAAAACAACUCUUAAAAUUGAUAUGAUUAUCUCAAUAACUCAUCAAUCCCAUCCUAAUUCA
Molecule: long non-coding RNA, 324 nt
Filed under: Solanum tuberosum (potato)
Lineage: Eukaryota; Viridiplantae; Streptophyta; Magnoliopsida; Solanales; Solanaceae
Description: long non-coding RNA (STUB_LNC001546)
Source: RNAcentral